CAGAAUAUAGUUUAAGAAAAUUUUAAUUUUGGAGAUUAAAGAUAGACUAGAAGGUCUUAUUCUGA
RNAcentral lists this transfer RNA (65 nucleotides) under Cyclommatus strigiceps vitalisi. RNAcentral's name for it is "tRNA-Pro". The record is from RNAcentral. Lineage: Eukaryota; Metazoa; Arthropoda; Insecta; Coleoptera; Lucanidae.